CUCACUGAAGCGAGCACCAGAAAUUUCACGGCAGACCCCAACGGGCAAGGACUCGAUCCUGUGCCGUAGCGCACACGCCAAACCUCUUUCGCUCACCACUGCACCACGAGGCUCAGCGAUGGUGAAGUUGAAUGUCACUCUCCUCCGCUUCAUGGAAGAUGAGGACUUUCGCGUGCUCACGGCGCUCGAGAUGGCCAUGCGCAACCACGACGUCGCCCCGACCGCGCUCGUUGAGCGUAUCGCACAGCUGCCCCACGGCGGGUGCCGCAAGCGGCUCAACAACCUUCUCAAGCACAAGAUGAUUCACCAUGAGAACACCAUGUACGACGGUUACGCCAUGAAGUACGGCGCAUACGACUACCUAGCACUGCGCACGCUUAGCAAGCGCGGCACCUGCACAGGUGUGGGCCACCGCAUUGGGUGCGGCAAGGAGUCUGAUAUUAUCUUAGUACGGGACGAGGCCGGCCACGAGUGCGUGCUCAAGCUGCAGCGCCUCGGACGCUGCUCAUUUCGCAGCGUGGCGCGCAACCGCGACUACAAAGGGAACGGCCGCGCCCGUCAUGGGGAGAGCUGGUUCUACCUGUCGCGCCUCGCCUCGCAGAAGGAGUACUCGUUUAUGAAGCUGCUGUAUGACGAGGGAUUUCCAGUGCCGAAACCGAUCGACCAGAACCGGCACGCGCUGCUCAUGGAGCUGGUGCCAGGAACCCUGCUAAACAACAUCACGGAGCUCGGAGACGCCAGCAAGGUGUACCGCCGCGCCCUGGAGCUGAUGGUGAAGCUGGCCGAGUCGGGGCUCAUUCACGGUGACUUUAACGAGUUCAACUUGAUGAUCACCGACGACCAGCGCGUCAUCAUGAUUGACUUUCCGCAGAUGAUCUCCAUCAACCACCCCAACGCGUCGGAGCUCUUUGACCGCGAUGUGCAGAACCUCGCCAACUUCUUCCACCGCCGCUUCAAGGUGGACACGACGUGGUUCCCAUCGCUGGAGAAGGACGUGGUGCGCAAGGGCGAGCUGGAUAAGCAGGUGUACGCGAGCGGGCACUUCACGCGCAAGCAGCAGGAGGAUCUGGAGCGACUCAUGCUGGAGGGCUUCCAGCGGAGUGAGAAGAGCGAUGACGAGGCAGGCUCGCAGGUGCGCGACAGUGAUGCGAGCGACGAUGACGGUGACGAAAAUGCGUCGCAGCGUUCCGACAUAGGCAACGCGGACGUGGAUGCGGGAGUUGCGGGCAAGUUCACGUCCAUCCCCGGCGGCGCAAGGGGCGGCGAGAGUGACGAGGAGAGGGAGGAUAGCAGCGACGAUGAUGCGAGUGAAGGCAGGUUGCUCGACGAGGCCAUGGGCGCCGCACGCGAGCGGCGCGAAGGCGAGAUCUACGCCCGCAAUACCGACCGCAACGCAAACUUUCUGCCGGAUGGAAAAAUCAACGAAGACCAUGUGAAGCACCAGAUUCGCAAGAACAUUCGGCGCAAGGACAACCACGACUUCAAUCGCCACCUGCACCGCAAUGUGCAGAAGGGUCGGCAGAAGCAGAAGAUUCAGCGUCAGCUCAAGAGUUCGAACGGUGGCGGCUUCUUCGACUAGGUUGCGCCGGUGUACAUGCUUCUUCUCGUGUGGAUGGAGAGGGAGGGGCAGUGCGGAGUGCAACUCCUGUGCCCGUCAGCUCGCUGGUAAUCGUGGCGAUGCACCUGCUGCGAUUAGGCCCCGCUUUCUUUUCGCGCGAAGGCGAGGUGGCUCGCGCCGCAUUUCCUUUCUCCCCCCUCCCCCACGCCCGAUUGUACCCGACCCUCGCAGAGCGAGGCCGCUCGGUAGAUGGGUGGGGGUAUCCCUCGAUCUCCUACGAUUUUCUCGCUCUGUUGCGCACGCCCGGCUGCCAUGCUUCUUUCCCUUUUUUCCGUUGUUGUUUUCGUCCCUCUUUCCUUGUGUGCCGUGGAGGCGAAUUUAACGAGUAACAAAGCCGACGAGGGGUGGCGGCGGACGGAUGCCCCGCUGCCGGUGUGUAGGUGUGUUGUCAUGUCUAAGGCGCUUCCCUCUCUCUCGUUUUAUGCGUCAUCUUUUUUUGUAUCUUUCGUUGUUGUUGUCAGGCGCCGGCUGCUCCCCAAGCGGCGCAAGCGCGCGCGUCCCAUACGCUGUGAUGCC
RNAcentral lists this unclassified non-coding RNA (2134 nucleotides) under Leishmania donovani. RNAcentral describes it as "gene:LdHU3.30.1800(CDS-product:Rio2_N-inal/RIO1_f amily/Phosphotransferase_enzyme_family_putative)". The record is from RNAcentral. Lineage: Eukaryota; Euglenozoa; Kinetoplastea; Trypanosomatida; Trypanosomatidae.